RNAcentral lists this long non-coding RNA (1336 nucleotides) under Marmota monax (woodchuck). The record is from RNAcentral. Lineage: Eukaryota; Metazoa; Chordata; Mammalia; Rodentia; Sciuridae.
CAGUGUGUGUGUGUGUAGGUGUAUUAGUACUUAUCCUGACAGCCCUUUCACAAAAAUGUGAUAUCUGCCUACCUGCCUCACUCUAGUUUCCCAGCUCCUAGUUAGCUUGGGCUGCCAUACAAAAUACCGUAGCAUGAAUGAGCUUACACAACAGAUAUUUUCUCACAGUUGUGGAGGUUAAAAGUGAAAGAUCAAAUUUCUAGCACUGUUCAUUUUCCAGUGAUGAUCCUCUCUUUUUAACUUGCAGAUGGCUUGGUUCUUGCUGUGUAGUGACAUACAGAGGAAGGGAGUGAGCUCUGGGGUUGCUUAACGUAAGGACACAAAUCUUAUAGAAUUAAGCCUCUACUCUCAUGACUUCAUUUUACCUUCAUUACUUCCUUACUUCAAAUAGGCACAUUAGGAGUAAGGGCUUUAGCAUGAGUUUCAGGGGAACACAAUUCAAUCUGUUACACCACUUUUGAAUUUUGCUUGCAAUUAAGAUUCUUUGGGCUUAGAAACCAGUUUGUUUUGUUUAUUGAUUAGCUCCUACUGCUAGGUAUGCUUAUUAGAAUUGUGUAUAGAGAAAGCAUAAAGUAGUGAAAAUGAGUUUUAGACACGUUUCUUGAGCAUUUUCUCAUGAGUAAAAGGCACUGGUUUUAGUGCAUGGAAUUUGUAACUUUACUGGGAUGGUCAGAUGUCUUUUAUCUAGAUUUGAGAUGUAUUUAGUUUGUGUGAGAUAAUACAGCUGUGUGAAGAAACAUUGGGAGUUAAUGUCAAAGGAAUUCAGAGAAAGAAAAGCAUUCAGUGUGGGUUGCAGGAAUUGGCAAAACUUUGUGGAAGAACAAGAGUUGACUGAUUCAACAUGAGUUAAUGGAAUUAUAAUGAUAUGAAAACACUCAAGAUGAAAAAUUGCCACAUUGGACAUUUUCUCAUUUGUGGUGCUGUAAGGUUUCAGAAAAAAAUGAUAGAGACCAUGACACAAAUUAUUUGUCCCAGUUAAAUAAAAUUUAAUGACCAUGUGUGGUGACAAAAAUGAGAAAAUCACUUUGUCAUAUAAGCUACUUACAGUGAUUCAUCAUGAAAGCCUUGGAACAGUAUGUUAUGUGAAAUUGGAUAUGCCCUUUUCAGACUGCAGUAGCCCAGAUCAGGGAUUACAUGUAUUGUUGGUUCUGCAGAAUGCUGGUAAAAAUAGUGGUCAAAGUUUUUUAAAACUUUGUGGACUACGCUAAAUUCACACAAAUACACAACCAAGCAAAUAUCCCCUAGACACAUAAAAAGACAACAAUAGAAUAUGUAUGUAAUGUGCUCUGAUAUUUUCUACACCAUUCAACUUUUCUUUCAAGGAGGUGGUUAUGGC